This is a long non-coding RNA of Gossypium arboreum, 566 nucleotides long. RefSeq lists it as uncharacterized. The transcript has 3 exons. The record is from RefSeq and is a predicted model, not a curated record. NCBI's taxonomy places the organism in Eukaryota, Viridiplantae, Streptophyta, Magnoliopsida, Malvales, Malvaceae.
UGAAAUGGCAUUUUGACGUAUGGUUGGUUGAAAUAAGAUUCAUGUGAAUUUGCUUCUUAUUUCGUCCGAUUGUGAGUUUUUGUUACUGUGUUUGUCUCCCUUUAGACGUGAGGUGGUCUUCUGGCCGGUGUUAGGUGCCUGCGGGUUGAUGUGAAAGAAGUUUAGUCAUUGUCGAAUUUUGGAAAUUAGAAUUUGAAGAAAGUGGUCUCGCUUUUGGUUGUUGGGUAACCUGUGGGGGUGAGGAAUCUUGUUUUGAUAAGGAUCGUGAGGGCUGAUGAUUUUAAAGUGUUGUUAGAAAGUUUGAAGUUCUCGGCUGAAGAGUUAGUCAGACGAUACAUAGGUGGGGGGCAGGAGAAGAUAGCUGGAUAAUGUAUCACCCUGGAUGCGGUGGCUGGCGACAAGCUCUGCAACGAGCAAUGAAGAUCCUAUGUUGGAACUGCUGUGGGAUUGGAAACCCUGCGACAGUUCACAAAUUGAAGCAACUUCUCGUUGCAAAUGACCCUAAGGAGAGCACCAAGAGUCAAAAGGAGCCAAAAACGAGCCAAAAAAGGACAAAACGGACCAAA